This 790-nucleotide ribosomal RNA is filed under the name uncultured archaeon. RNAcentral's name for it is "bacterial SSU rRNA". It matches the Rfam family "Archaeal small subunit ribosomal RNA", at positions 85 to 876 of the family's 1478-position model. The record is from RNAcentral.
ACUGCUCAGUAACACGUGGAUAACCUGCCCUCAGGUCUGGCAUAACCCCGGGAAACUGGGGAUAAUUCCGGAUAACGCAUAUGUGCUGGAAUGCUUUAUGCGUGAAAGGUCCUCCGCCUGAGGAUGGGUCUGCGGCCUAUCAGGUAGUAGCGGGUGUAAUGUACCUGCUAGCCGACGACGGGUACGGGUUGUGAGAGCAAGAGCCCGGAGAUGGAUUCUGAGACAUGAAUCCAGGCCCUACGGGGCGCAGCAGGCGCGAAAACUUUACAAUGCGGGAAACCGUGAUAAGGGGACACCGAGUGCCAGCAACAUUUGCUGGCUGUCCAGGUGUGUAAACUACACCUGUUAGCAAGGGCCGGGCAAGACCGGUGCCAGCCGCCGCGGUAACACCGGCGGCCCGAGUGGUGAUCGUUAUUAUUGGGUCUAAAGGGUCCGUAGCCGGUUUAGUCAGUCCUCCGGGAAAUCUGUCAGCUCAACUGAUAGGCUAUCGGGGGAUACUGCUAGACUUGGAACCGGGAGAGGUAAGAGGUACUACAGGGGUAGGAGUGAAAUCUUGUAAUCCCUGUGGGACCACCUGUGGCGAAGGCGUCUUACCAGAACGGGUUCGACGGUGAGGGACGAAAGCUGGGGGCACGAACCGGAUUAGAUACCCGGGUAGUCCCAGCCGUAAACGAUGCUCGCUAGGUGUCAUGCAUGGUGCGACCGUGUAUGGUGCCGUAGGGAAGCCGUGAAGCGAGCCACCUGGGAAGUACGGCCGCAAGGCUGAAACUUAAAGGAAUUGGCGGGGGAG